CGCGAAUUCGCCCUUACGGCUACCUUGUUACGACUUCACCCCAGUUACCGGCUCCACCUUCGGCAGCUCCUUCCUUACGGUUGGGUCACUGACUUCGGGCAUUUCCGACUCCCAUGGUGUGACGGGCGGUGUGUACAAGACCCGGGAACGUAUUCACCGCGGCAUUCUGAUCCGCGAUUACUAGCGAUUCCAGCUUCAUGUAGUCGGGUUGCAGACUACAAUCCGAACUGGGACGUUAUUUUUGGGAUUUGCUUGGCGUCACCGCUUUGCUUCCCUUUGUUUACGCCAUUGUAGCACGUGUGUAGCCCUGAUCAUAAGGGGCACGAUGAUUUGACGUCAUCCCCGCCUUCCUCCCGGUUAUCCCGGGCAGUCUCUCCAGAGUGCCCAUCUUAAAUGCUGGCUACUGGAAAUAGGGGUUGCGCUCGUUGCGGGACUUAACCCAACAUCUCACGACACGAGCUGACGACAACCAUGCACCACCUGUCUCCGGUGU
Molecule: ribosomal RNA, 493 nt
Filed under: uncultured bacterium
Lineage: Bacteria
Description: partial 16S ribosomal RNA
Source: RNAcentral